This 497-nucleotide ribosomal RNA is filed under the name uncultured bacterium. RNAcentral's name for it is "partial 16S ribosomal RNA". It matches the Rfam family "Bacterial small subunit ribosomal RNA", at positions 28 to 507 of the family's 1533-position model. The record is from RNAcentral.
GAUGAACGCUGGCGGCGUGCCUAAUACAUGCCAGUCGAGCGAACAGACGAGGAGCUUGCUCCUCUGACGUUAGCGGCGGACGGGUGAGUAACACGUGGAUAACCUACCUAUAAGACUGGGAUAACUUCGGGAAACCGGAGCUAAUACCGGAUAAUAUAUUGAACCGCAUGGUUCAAUAGUGAAAGACGGUUUUGCUGUCACUUAUAGAUGGAUCCGCGCCGCAUUAGCUAGUUGGUAAGGUAACGGCUUACCAAGGCGACGAUGCGUAGCCGACCUGAGAGGGUGAUCGGGCACACUGGAACUGAGACACGGUCCAGACUCCUAAGGGAGGCAGCAGUAGGGAAUCUUCCGCAAUGGGCGAAAGCCUGACGGAGCAAAGCCGCGUGAGUGAUGAAGGUCCUCCGAUCGUAAAACUCUGUUAUUAGGGAAGAACAAAUGUGUAAGUAACUAUGCACGUCUUGACGGUACCUAAUCAGAAAGCCACGGCUAACUACGUG